GUAGGUGGCAAGCGUUGUCCGGAAUUAUUGGGCGUAAAGCGCGCGCAGGUGGUUCUUUAAGUCUGAUGUGAAAGCCCCCGGCUCAACCGGGGAGGGUCAUUGGAAACUGGGGAACUUGAGUGCAGGAGAGGAGAGUGGAAUUCCACGUGUAGCGGUGAAAUGCGUAGAUAUGUGGAGGAACACCAGUGGCGAAGGCGACUUUUCUGGCCUGUAACUGACACUGAGGCGCGAAAGCGUGGGGAGCAAACAGGGAUUAGAUACCCUGGUAGUCCACGCCGUAAACGAUGAGUGCUAAGUGUUGGGGGGGUUUCCGCCCCCUCAGUGCUGCAGCUAACGCAUUAAGCACUCCGCCUGGGAGUACGGUCGCAAGACUG
This 374-nucleotide ribosomal RNA is filed under the name uncultured organism. Its description in RNAcentral is "partial 16S ribosomal RNA". It matches the Rfam family "Bacterial small subunit ribosomal RNA", at positions 527 to 896 of the family's 1533-position model. The record is from RNAcentral.